Molecule: long non-coding RNA, 3383 nt
Organism: Rhincodon typus (whale shark)
Lineage: Eukaryota; Metazoa; Chordata; Chondrichthyes; Orectolobiformes; Rhincodontidae
Exons: 4
Source: RefSeq, a predicted model, not a curated record
AGUGCAAUAUGUGAAGCCUGAGUGUUUGCAGGAUUUUCGCUUUUAAUGCUUUAACGUAAAUUGGGAUACUUCCUGGAUUUUCACUAAUAGAAUAGGAAUGCACAAUGUCAUGAGAUUCCAUAACACUUCCUUUGUUCUUGUAGGAUAAAGCCCAUAACUGGAAGGAAAAGAAGCCAGGUAUUUGGGAAGGGCAUAAAAGCGCAUGUGAACGUUCAUGAAGGAGAUGGUGUUGCUCAUUCUGGGAAAGGCCAUGACUGAGUGCUACAAUCUCAGCAGAUGUUAUUACUGAGCAACUCAAAUUCAAAUUCCCAAGAAAUACAACCUGGCCAGGCAACGGACAAAGACUAAGGAAACAGUCAUUAAUGAAAGCAUAACUUUGGUUAAUUUACAACUUGCAAUCAACAGCUCACAUACGAAUAUUGUAUGUAGUUUCGGAGAUAUGUGAGACAUUGGGCACAAGCGUCCCACAGCCGAAUAAGAGAGGUGGAUAGUGAAGGUACCAGCUCACCAGAGGUUGCAUGCAGUUUCUGCUUCAGAGGACCCAGACGAGGACAGCAAUGAGGCAGGCUGUAGAGAAUGGCAGAUGGGGUCAGCUCCAUGGAAUCUAUUUUGGGUGUGCUCCGAGUUACAUUCUGACUCUGCACUGAUGGUUGCAGUCAUAGAGGUGAACAGCAUGGAAACAGAACCUUCAGUCCAACUCGAGUCAUGUGUUCCAGCGUUGGUUUCAGGCUUGGUUAUGAGCUGGUCAUGCCCUCCCCAGUCGGAAAGCACACCAACUUGCAUUUUGCCGUCCACUACGUGAACAACAAGCUGACAGGAAGCAACAGUAGUUUCUGCAGAUCAGUAAGAGUCAGCAGCUGGAAGAGAGGGAGGAUGGAAAAGGAUCUGAUUUACAAUUUUUAUGCCCAAUGUAACCGAUGGAAACACGGUGAGCCACUCACAAGGUACGUCACUCAAGCACAACGAAAUGCCAUUCAUGCUCUCUAGACCAAUCGCAAGAUUGUCAUCAAACCAGCAGACAAAGGAGGAGCCAUCGUCAUACAGGAUAGAACAGGCUACUGCAAAGAAGAAUACCAACAUCUGAACAACAGGAACUACAGACAACUACCUGCUGAUCCAACCAAAGAACAUUCCAUCAACUCAACCCACUGAUCAAGACUUUUGAUCCAGACCUUCAGAGUGUCCUAUGCACACUCAUCUCGCAUACUUCUCACAUAGGAGACUUCUACUGUCUUCCAAAUAUACACAAAACCAACACACCUGGCUGUCCCAUCAUAUCAAACAAUGGGACCCUGUGUGAGAACCUCUCUGGCAAUGUCAAUAGCACAAUACCUUCAUCUUUUAUAACCAGUUCUUCACCCUGACACACAAAACAGCCAUGGGGACCAAAUUUGCAACCCAGUAUGCCAACAUUUUCAUGUCCAAGUUUGAACAAGACUUCUUUGCUGCACAUGACAUCCAACCAACGCUAUACAGCAGAUACAUUGAUGACAUUUAUUUCCUUUGGACUCAUGACGAGGAAUCACUGAAACAACUAUAUAGUGAUAUCAACAAGUUUCAUCCCACCAUCAGACUUACCAUGGACUACUCUUUAGAAUCAAUCUCAUUCUUGGACACAUGCAUCUCCAUCAGGGACAGACACCUCAGUACCUCACUCUACCACAAGCGCACACAUAACCCCAUGAUGCUGCACUUCGCUAGCUUCCACCUUAAACAUAUUAAAGAAGGCAUCCCCUACAGACAAGCCCUACACAGACACAGGAUCAGCUCAGUUAAGGAGGAACACAAUGGACAACUAAAGAUUUUGAAGGACACUCUCAUAAGAACGGGAUACAAUGCUCAACUCAUCGAUCGCCAGUUCUGACGUGUCACAUCGAAAAACAGCAAUAACCUCCUCAGAAGACAGACACAUGAUAUGACCGAUAGAUACUCUCCAUCAUCCAGUACUUCCCCGGAGCGGAGAGACUACACCAUAUUCUUUGCAGCCUUCAACAUGUCUUCGAUGAUGAUGAACACCUCACUAAGAUCAUCCCUACGCUUCCACUUCUUGCCUUCAAACAACUGCCAAACCUUAAACAGACAAUUGUUCACAACAAACUACCCAGACUUCAGGACAACAUCGACCACAACACCACACAACCCUUCAUGGCAACCUCUGCAAGACAUGUCAGAUCAUCGGGAUGGACACUACCAUCACAUGUGGGAACACCAGCUACUAUGUGCACGGCGAUGUGACUCGGCCAAUGUUGUCUAUAUCAUAUGCUGCAGGCAAGGAUGCCCCAAGGCAUGGUAUAUUGGCGAGACCAUGCAAAAACAGAUGAAUGGACACCGCCGAACAAUUGCCAAACAGGAACACUUCAGGGGUCAAGGGCAUUCAGCCUCUGAUCUUUGGACAAGUGUCCUCCAAGGUAGACUUUGAGUUAAGCAACAAUGCAGAAUCACCAAGCAGAGACUGAUAACCAACUUCCAUACCCAUGUAGACAGCCUCACCUGUGAUCUUGGUUUCAUGUCGUGCUACAUGUGAACCCACCGCACUGUUCUAUAUCUGUAAAAUCUUCCUGACUGUCCUGUUUUGACACCAUCAAAUUGAUAAAUUGCUAUGAUCUCUCUACCUUAAUUAGUUUGUACAGUUUUGAAUUACUUAUUACUUUAGUUAGACCCUCAGCAUGCGACUCUUAUACAUAUCAUGUUAUUCCAGUCAUUUGGUUUGUGUCCAGCGUCACCUUAUUUUUUAAUUUUUUGUACUCUCUGUCUCAUUUAAUCGGAUUUUAGGCCAUCCCUUCACUGUUUAUUCAGCUGUUGACACUUUACUCAUCCUCUGACACUCUUGGUCGCCUGCAGAGACUUAUUAUCUGACACUCCACUUACACCAGUUGUAUGAUCUUUUGAUCUCUCAGCCCUUGAUCUCUGUGCCUAUAAACUCACUGUGUGUGUGCGCUCUUCUCUCUCACUGCACCUGACGAAGGGGAUGCGCUCCGAAAGCUUGUGAUUUCAAAUAAAUCUGUUGGACUAUAACCUGGCGUCGUAUGGCUUCUGGCUUUGUCCACCCCUGUUCAACAUCGGCACCUCCACAUCAUUUUUUUUUAAUGAGAGGAAGAUCAAUUAUAAUUCUCCACAAUUGGCAAAACUGUGUGAAAAGGAAGGUUUGCUUACAUAAGUUUUAUCAUUGCCAAUAUCUUACUCACUGCAGGCAACGGAAAUGUUUAGUCCAGAUCAUUGGUAAACAAAACUCAGCGGUGUUUUGGAUUUGUACCUGUAAGAUGGUUUACCAAGUUUAGAAAUGUUCUUGGCUUCAUUGCAUUAAUGCUGGUUUGGAUAGAAAAACUUUGCUUAAGGAUUCCCACGCCAAAUGAUUUUAAUAAAAAUGUUUCCCACCUUUCUCA